GAUUGAACGCUGCGGCAUGCUUUACUACAUGCAAGUCGAACGGCAGCACGAGGGUGACCUUGGUGGCGAGUGGCGAACGGGUGAGUAAUACAUCGGAACGUAUCUUGAAGUGGGGGAUAACGCAUCGAAAGAUGUGCUAAUACCGCAUAUUCUCCAAGGAGGAAAGCAGGGGAUCGAAAGACCUUGUGCUUUUAGAGCGGCCGAUGCCUGAUUAGCUAAUUGGUGGGGUAAAGGCCUACCAAGGCAACGAUCAGUAGCUGGUUUGAGAGGACGACCAGCCACACUGGGACUGAGACACGGCCCAGACUCC
This 310-nucleotide ribosomal RNA is filed under the name uncultured bacterium. Its description in RNAcentral is "bacterial SSU rRNA". It matches the Rfam family "Bacterial small subunit ribosomal RNA", at positions 27 to 339 of the family's 1533-position model. The record is from RNAcentral.